Molecule: ribosomal RNA, 238 nt
Filed under: uncultured bacterium
Lineage: Bacteria
Description: partial 16S ribosomal RNA
Rfam family: Bacterial small subunit ribosomal RNA
Source: RNAcentral
GAUCAUGGCUGAGGAUGAACGCUGGCGGCGUGCUUAACACAUGCAAGUCGAACGAAGCAUUUAGAACGGAUUACUUCGGUUUGAAGUUCUUUAUGACUGAGUGGCGGACGGGUGAGUAACGCGUGGGUAACCUGCCUUGUACUGGGGGAUAGCAGCUGGAAACGGCUGGUAAUACCGCAUAAGCGCACAAUGUUGCAUGACAUAGUGUGAAAAACUCCUGUGGUAUAAGAUGGACCCG